Long non-coding RNA from Bactrocera neohumeralis, 311 nucleotides. RefSeq lists it as uncharacterized. NCBI's taxonomy places the organism in Eukaryota, Metazoa, Arthropoda, Insecta, Diptera, Tephritidae. The transcript has 3 exons. The record is from RefSeq and is a predicted model, not a curated record.
UUAAAAAAAUAUCUUACAACCUCGUUUGCGAUCCUCGAGUAGAACCAUCACAAAUUGUGGUACCGUCACCAUCUUCUGACGGCCAUUAAGAUAUAAUCCAGAAGCUGGAUGCCAUUGAGACCCGAAACUGCCUAUGUCAUCGGAAGAGCACGUGCGCUUCGUGGAAGACAAACUUUCACAAAAGGAAAGCACGGAUGCUAUGAUGCGGCUAAUAUUGAAGUCAAAGGGCGCAAAAGGAAGUGUGGACGGCGUACUGCGUGGUAUGCUUUCUGACGAUCUAAUGUACCACUACAAUUUAGAGGGGCGCAAGG